Molecule: ribosomal RNA, 447 nt
Filed under: uncultured bacterium
Lineage: Bacteria
Description: bacterial SSU rRNA
Rfam family: Bacterial small subunit ribosomal RNA
Source: RNAcentral
UAACGAAUAUUCCGCAAUGGGCGCAAGCCUGACGGAGCAAUGCCGCGUGCAGGAUGAAGCCCCUCGGGGUGUAAACUGCUGUCAGGGAUAAGCAACACAUGAGCUAUCCCAGAGGAAGAGGCGACUAACUCUGUGCCAGCAGUCGCGGUAAUACAGAGGCCUCAAGCGUUAAUCGGAAUCACUGGGCUUAAAGGGUGCGUAGGCUGACUCGUAAGUGCUUUGUGAAAUCCCAUCGCUCAACGGUGGAAUUGCUCGGCAUACUGCGAGUCUUGAGGUCGGUAGGGGCUGCCGGAACUGUAGGUGGAGCGGUGAAAUGCGUAGAUAUCUACAGGAACGCCAAAGGUGAAGACAGGCAGCUGGGCCGAUUCUGACGCUGAGGCACGAAAGCGUGGGGAGCAAACGGGAUUAGAUACCCAUGUAGUCCCUGAGCGGGCUGGCAAGGCGCAU